GAUGAACGCUGGCGGCGUGCUUAACACAUGCAAGUCGAACGGAGUUUAGAUGAAGCUUGCGAUUCUAAACUUAGUGGCGGACGGGUGAGUAACGCGUGGGUAACCUGCCUUAUACCGGGGGAUAACACUUAGAAAUAGGUGCUAAUACCGCAUAAGCGCACAAAGCUGCAUGGCUUAGUGUGAAAAACUCCGGUGGUAUAAGAUGGACCCGCGUCUGAUUAGCUAGUUGGUGAGGUAACGGCCCACCAAGGCGACGAUCAGUAGCCGGCCUGAGAGGGUGAACGGCCACAUUGGGACUGAGACACGGCCCAAACUCC
This 317-nucleotide ribosomal RNA is filed under the name uncultured Lachnospiraceae bacterium. RNAcentral describes it as "bacterial SSU rRNA". It matches the Rfam family "Bacterial small subunit ribosomal RNA", at positions 28 to 339 of the family's 1533-position model. The record is from RNAcentral. Lineage: Bacteria; Bacillati; Bacillota; Clostridia; Lachnospirales; Lachnospiraceae.